This is a long non-coding RNA of Hydractinia symbiolongicarpus, 442 nucleotides long. RefSeq lists it as uncharacterized. The record is from RefSeq and is a predicted model, not a curated record. The transcript has 3 exons. Lineage: Eukaryota; Metazoa; Cnidaria; Hydrozoa; Anthoathecata; Hydractiniidae.
AGAAAAGGUUCAACUCAAGAAGAAAUAUUAAACGUUUUAGCAGAUCACGAUCCUGCAUAUUUAAAGAAAAUAUUUAUUGAUGAAUUUAUAGGCUAUGGUGUUUUUACUACGCAAAAUGUAUCCAAAGGCAGUAUCCUCCUGUAGUACAAGGGGAAGCUUUUAUCAAAAAAAGAGGCAGAGGUAAAGCGAGAAGAAUACUGUCGUAGAAAGUUAGGAUGCUUUAUUUUUGAUAUAAAGCAUAAUGGAAAAAAAUUGAGUAUUGAUGCUACAUUGUCAUCCUGCCUUUGCCGUUUUGUAAAUGAUUCACCACCUGCAUAUGCGAACUGCACUAUGAAAAAAUUCGAAAAGGGUGGAAUGCCAGGAAUUUUUUUGGUAGCAACAAAAGAUAUUCCUACUGGUACAGAGCUACGAUACAAUUACAAUGACACAAACUUACCAUGGC